CAAUAGCGUAUAUUAAAGUUGUUGCAGUUAAAAAGCUCGUAGUUGGAUUUCUGGUGGGAGCGAUCGGUCUGGCGCUUAGCGCGAGUACUUGCAUCGUCUCCGGCCAUCCUUGGGGAGAGUCUGUCUGGCAUUAGGUUGUCGGGCAGAGGAUCCUCAUCGUUUACUGUGAAAAAAUUAGAGUGUUCAAAGCAGGCUUAUGCCGUUGAAUAUAUUAGCAUGGAAUAAUAAGAUAGGACUUUGGUACUAUUUUGUUGGUUUGCGCACCAAAGUAAUGAUUAAUAGGGACAGUUGGGGGUAUUCGUAUUCCGUUGUCAGAGGUGAAAUUCUUGGAUUUACGGAAGACGAACUACUGCGAAAGCAUUUGCCAAGGAUGUUUUCAUUAA
RNAcentral lists this ribosomal RNA (383 nucleotides) under uncultured eukaryote. RNAcentral's name for it is "partial 18S ribosomal RNA". It matches the Rfam family "Eukaryotic small subunit ribosomal RNA", at positions 592 to 976 of the family's 1831-position model. The record is from RNAcentral.